This 447-nucleotide ribosomal RNA is filed under the name uncultured bacterium. Its description in RNAcentral is "bacterial SSU rRNA". It matches the Rfam family "Bacterial small subunit ribosomal RNA", at positions 328 to 792 of the family's 1533-position model. The record is from RNAcentral.
UUUCCAGACUCCUACGGGAGGCAGCAGUGGGGAAUAUUGCACAAUGGGGGAAACCCUGAUGCAGCGACGCCGCGUGAGUGAAGAAGUAUCUCGGUACGUAAAGCUCUAUCAGCAGGGAAGAAAAUGACGGUACCUGACUAAGAAGCCCCGGCUAACUACGUGCCAGCAGCCGCGGUAAUACGUAGGGGGCAAGCGUUAUCCGGAUUUACUGGGUGUAAAGGGGGCGCAGACGGCAAUGCAAGCCAGGAGUGAAAGCCCGGGGCCCAACCCCGGGACUGCUCUUGGAACUGCAUGGCUGGAGUACAGGAGGGGCAGGCGGAAUUCCUAGUGUAGCGGUGAAAUGCGUAGAUAUUAGGAGGAACACCGGUGGCGAAGGCGGCCUGCUGGACUGUGACUGACGUUGAGGCCCGAAGGCGUGGGGAGCAAACAGGAUUAGAUACCCGUGUA